Molecule: ribosomal RNA, 831 nt
Filed under: uncultured eukaryote
Lineage: Eukaryota
Description: SSU rRNA
Rfam family: Eukaryotic small subunit ribosomal RNA
Source: RNAcentral
AUAAGCGACUAUACUGUGAAACUGCGAAUGGCUCAUUAAAUCAGUUAUGGUUUAUUUGAUGGUACCUACUACUUGGAUAACCGUAGUAAUUCUAGAGCUAAUACAUGCAGGAAGACCCGACUUCGGAAGGGUUGUAUUUAUUAGAUAAGAAACCAAUCCAGCUUGCUGGUUGCGUGCCGAGUCACAAUAACUGCUCGAAUCGCACGGCUUUACGCCGGCGAUGGUUCAUUCAAAUUUCUGCCCUAUCAGCUUUCGAUGGUAGAAUCGAGGCCUACCAUGGCGUUUACGGGUAACGGAGAAUUAGGGUUCGAUUCCGGAGAGGGAGCCUGAGAGAUGGCUACCACAUCCAAGGAAGGCAGCAGGCGCGUAAAUUGCCCGAAUCCUGACACAGGGAGGUAGUGACAAGAAAUAACAAUACAGGGCUACAUCUAGUCUUGUAAUUGGAAUGAGUACAAUUUACAUCUCUUCACGAGGAUCAAUUGGAGGGCAAGUCUGGUGCCAGCAGCCGCGGUAAUUCCAGCUCCAAUAGCGUAUAUUAAAGUUGUUGCAGUUAGAACGCUCGUAGUCGGAUUUCGGGGCGGGGCGACCGGUCUGCCGAUGGGUACGCACUGGUGGUCGCGUCCUUCCUUCCGGAGACCGUGCCUACUCUUAACUGAGCGGGUGCGGGAGACGGAACGUUUACUUUGAAAAAAUCAGAGUGUUUCAAGCAGGCAGCUCGCUCUUGCAUGGAUUAGCAUGGGAUAAUGAAAUAGGACUUUGGUGCUAUUUUGUUGGUUUCGAACACCGAAGUAAUGAUGAGAAGGGACAGUCAGGGGCAUUUGUAUUCGACCG